GAUGAACGCUGGCGGCGUGCCUAAUACAUGCAAGUCGAGCGAACGGACGAGAAGCUUGCUUUUCUGAUGUUAGCGGCGGACGGGUGAGUAACACGUGGAUAACCUACCUAUAAGACUGGGAUAACUUCGGGAAACCGGAGCUAAUACCGGAUAAUAUUUUGAACCGCAUGGUUCAAAAGUGAAAGACGGUCUUGCUGUCACUUAUAGAUGGAUCCGCGCUGCAUUAGCUAGUUGGUAAGGUAACGGCUUACCAAGGCAACGAUGCAUAGCCGACCUGAGAGGGUGAUCGGCCACACUGGAACGGAGACACGGUCCAGACUCCUACGGGAGGCAGCAGUAGGGAAUCUUCUGCAAUGGGCGAAAGCCUGACGGAGCAAGGCCGCGUGAGUGAUGAAGGUCUUCGGAUCGUAAAACUCUGUUAUUAGGGAAGAACAUAUGUGUAAGUAACUGUGCACAUCUUGACGGUACCUAAUCAGAAAGCCACGGCUAACUACGUG
RNAcentral lists this ribosomal RNA (497 nucleotides) under uncultured bacterium. RNAcentral describes it as "partial 16S ribosomal RNA". It matches the Rfam family "Bacterial small subunit ribosomal RNA", at positions 28 to 507 of the family's 1533-position model. The record is from RNAcentral.